Molecule: ribosomal RNA, 492 nt
Filed under: uncultured bacterium
Lineage: Bacteria
Description: partial 16S ribosomal RNA
Rfam family: Bacterial small subunit ribosomal RNA
Source: RNAcentral
AGUGAACGCUGGCGGUAGGCCUAACACAUGCAAGUCGAACGGCAGCACAGUAAGAGCUUGCUCUUACGGGUGGCGAGUGGCGGACGGGUGAGGAAUACAUCGGAAUCUACUUUUUCGUGGGGGAUAACGUAGGGAAACUUACGCUAAUACCGCAUACGACCUACGGGUGAAAGCAGGGGAUCUUCGGACCUUGCGCGAUUGAAUGAGCCGAUGUCGGAUUAGCUAGUUGGCGGGGUAAAGGCCCACCAAGGCGACGAUCCGUAGCUGGUCUGAGAGGAUGAUCAGCCACACUGGAGCUGAGACACGGUCCAGACCCCUACGGGAGGCAGCAGUGGGGAAUAUUGGACAAUGGGCGCAAGCCUGAUCCAGCCAUACCGCGUGGGUGAAGAAGGCCUUCGGGUUGUAAAGCCCUUUUGUUGGGAAAGAAAAGCAGCAGGUUAAUACCCCGCUGUUCUGACGGUACCCAAAGAAUAAGCACCGGCUAACUUCGUG